CCUACGGGAGGCAGCAGUAGGGAAUCUUCCGCAAUGGACGAAAGUCUGACGGAGCAACGCCGCGUGAGCGAUGAAGGCCUUCGGGUCGUAAAACUCUGUUGUUAGGGAAGAACAAGUACCGGAGUAACUGCCGGUACCUUGACGGUACCUAACCAGAAAGCCACGGCUAACUACGUGCCAGCAGCCGCGGUAAUACGUAGGUGGCAAGCGUUGUCCGGAAUUAUUGGGCGUAAAGCGCGCGCAGGCGGUUUCUUAAGUCUGAUGUGAAAGCCCACGGCUCAACCGUGGAGGGUCAUUGGAAACUGGGAGACUUGAGUGCAGAAGAGGAGAGUGGAAUUCCACGUGUAGCGGUGAAAUGCGUAGAGAUGUGGAGGAACACCAGUGGCGAAGGCGACUCUCUGGUCUGUAACUGACGCUGAGGCGCGAAAGCGUGGGGAGCAAACAGGAUUAGAUACCCUGGUAGUCCACGCCGUAAACGAUGAGUGCUAAGUGUUAGAGGGUUUCCGCCCUUUAGUGCUGCAGCUAACGCAUUAAGCACUCCGCCUGGGGAGUACGGCCGCAAGGCUGAAACUCAAAGGAAUUGACGG
This 587-nucleotide ribosomal RNA is filed under the name uncultured bacterium. RNAcentral describes it as "bacterial SSU rRNA". It matches the Rfam family "Bacterial small subunit ribosomal RNA", at positions 338 to 916 of the family's 1533-position model. The record is from RNAcentral.